Molecule: ribosomal RNA, 693 nt
Filed under: uncultured Gammaproteobacteria bacterium
Lineage: Bacteria; Pseudomonadati; Pseudomonadota; Gammaproteobacteria
Description: bacterial SSU rRNA
Rfam family: Bacterial small subunit ribosomal RNA
Source: RNAcentral
CGGCAGCACAGUGGUAGCAAUACCAUGGGUGGCGAGUGGCGGACGGGUGAGUAAUGCAUCGGGACCUACCUGAACGUGGGGGAUAACGUAGGGAAACUUACGCUAAUACCGCAUACGUCCUACGGGAGAAAGCGGGGGAUCUUCGGACCUCGCGCGGUCAGACGGACCGAUGUUCGAUUAGCUAGUUGGUAGGGUAAUGGCCUACCAAGGCGACGAUCGAUAGCUGGUCUGAGAGGAUGAUCAGCCACACUGGAACUGAGACACGGUCCAGACUCCUACGGGAGGCAGCAGUGGGGAAUAUUGGACAAUGGGCGCAAGCCUGAUCCAGCAAUGCCGCGUGUGUGAAGAAGGCCUUCGGGUUGUAAAGCACUUUUAUCGGGAGCGAAAUACUACUGGCUAAUAACCGGUGGGGCUGACGGUACCCGAGGAAUAAGCACCGGCUAACUUCGUGCCAGCAGCCGCGGUAAUACGAAGGGUGCAAGCGUUAAUCGGAAUUACUGGGCGUAAAGGGUGCGUAGGCGGUUUGUUAAGUCUGUCGUGAAAUCCCCGGGCUCAACCUGGGAAUGGCGAUGGAUACUGGCAAGCUAGAGUGUGUCAGAGGAUGGUGGAAUUUCCGGUGUAGCGGUGAAAUGCGUAGAGAUCGGAAGGAACAUCAGUGGCGAAGGCGGCCAUCUGGGACAACACUGACGCUGA